CAGGUAACACGAAAUCGUACCCCAAACCGACACAGGUGGUCAGGUAGAGAAUACCAAGGCGCUUGAGAGAACUCGGGUGAAGGAACUAGGCAAAAUGGUGCCGUAACUUCGGGAGAAGGCACGCUGGUGCGUAGGUGAAGCGACUUGCUCGCGGAGCUGAAACCAGUCGAAGAUACCAGCUGGCUGCAACUGUUUAUUAAAAACACAGCACUGUGCAAACACGAAAGUGGACGUAUACGGUGUGACGCCUGCCCGGUGCCGGAAGGUUAAUUGAUGGGGUUAUCGCAAGAGAAGCUCCUGAUCGAAGCCCCGGUAAACGGCGGCCGUAACUAUAACGGUCCUAAGGUAGCGAAAUUCCUUGUCGGGUAAGUUCCGACCUGCACGAAUGGCGUAAUGAUGGCCAGGCUGUCUCCACCCGAGACUCAGUGAAAUUGAACUCGCUGUGAAGAUGCAGUGUACCCGCGGCAAGACGGAAAGACCCCGUGAACCUUUACUACAGCUUGACACUGAACAUUGAGCCUUGAUGUGUAGGAUAGGUGGGAGGCUUUGAAGCGUGGACGCCAGUCUGCGUGGAGCCAACCUUGAAAUACCACCCUUUAAUGUUUGAUGUUCUAACCUGGCGCCAUAAUCUGGCGUGGGGACAGUGUCUGGUGGGUAGUUUGACUGGGGCGGUCUCCUCCCAAAGUGUAACGGAGGAGCACGAAGGUCAGCUAAUCCUGGUCGGACAUCAGGAGGUUAGUGCAAUGGCAUAAGCUGGCUUGACUGCGAGAGUGACGGCUCGAGCAGGUGCGAAAGCAGGUCAUAGUGAUCCGGUGGUUCUGUAUGGAAGGGCCAUCGCUCAACGGAUAAAAGGUACUCCGGGGAUAACAGGCUGAUACCGCCCAAGAGUUCAUAUCGACGGCGGUGUUUGGCACCUCGAUGUCGGCUCAUCACAUCCUGGGGCUGAAGUAGGUCCCAAGGGUAUGGCUGUUCGCCAUUUAAAGUGGUACGCGAGCUGGGUUUAGAACGUCGUGAGACAGUUCGGUCCCUAUCUGCCGUGGGCGCUGGAGAAUUGAGGGGGGUUGCUCCUAGUACGAGAGGACCGGAGUGAACGCAUCACUGGUGUUCGGGUUGUCAUGCCAAUGGCACUGCCCGGUAGCUAAAUGCGGAAGAGAUAAGUGCUGAAAGCAUCUAAGCACGAAACUUGCCCCGAGAUGAGUUCUCCCUGAGACCUUGAGUCUCCUGAAGGAACGUUGAAGACGACGACGUUGAUAGGCCGGGUGUGUAAGCGCAGCGAUGCGUUGAGCUAACCGGUACUAAUGAACCGUGAGGCUUAACCUUACAACGCCGAAG
This 1332-nucleotide ribosomal RNA is filed under the name Franconibacter pulveris. Its description in RNAcentral is "partial 23S ribosomal RNA". It matches the Rfam family "Bacterial large subunit ribosomal RNA", at positions 1628 to 2925 of the family's 2925-position model. Lineage: Bacteria; Pseudomonadati; Pseudomonadota; Gammaproteobacteria; Enterobacterales; Enterobacteriaceae. The record is from RNAcentral.